CUACGGGCCGCACCAGGCGCGAAAACUUCGCAAUGCGGGAAACCGUGACGAGGGAAUUCUGAGUGCUCAUACAAUGUAUGGGCUUUUCUGACGUGUAAAUAGCAUCAGGAAUAAGGGCUGGGUAAGACCGGUGCCAGCCGCCGCGGUAAUACCGGCAGCUCGAGUGGUAGCCGCUUUUAUUGGGCCUAAAGCGUCCGUAGCCGGUCAGGUAAAUCCUUGGGUAAAUCGUAUCGCUCAACGAUACGACCUCCGGGGAGACUGCCUGACUUGGGACCGGGAGAGGUUGGAGGUACUCCUGGGGUAGGGGUGAAAUCCUGUAAUCCUAGGUGGACCAUCGGUGGCGAAGGCGUCCAACCAGAACGGCUCCGACGGUGAGGGACGAAGGCUAGGGGCGCAAACCGGAUUAGAUACCCGCGUAGUC
This 421-nucleotide ribosomal RNA is filed under the name uncultured archaeon. Its description in RNAcentral is "partial 16S ribosomal RNA". It matches the Rfam family "Archaeal small subunit ribosomal RNA", at positions 323 to 746 of the family's 1478-position model. The record is from RNAcentral.